UACAGAGGGUGCGAGCGUUAAUCGGAAUUACUGGGCGUAAAGCGUGCGUAGACGGUCAAGUAAGUCGGGUGUGAAAGCCCCGGGCUCAACCUGGGAAUUGCAUUCGAGACUGCGUGGCUAGGGUGCGGAAGAGGGAAGCGGAAUUUCCGGUGUAGCGGUGAAAUGCGUAGAUAUCGGAAGGAACACCAGUGGCGAAGGCGGCGACCUGGGUCGAGACUGACGCUGAGGCGCGAAAGCGUGGGGAGCAAACAGG
This 253-nucleotide ribosomal RNA is filed under the name uncultured bacterium. RNAcentral describes it as "partial 16S ribosomal RNA". It matches the Rfam family "Bacterial small subunit ribosomal RNA", at positions 524 to 776 of the family's 1533-position model. The record is from RNAcentral.